AACGAACGCUGGCGGCAUGCCUAACACAUGCAAGUCGAACGGGAUCCUAGCUUGCUAGGUGAGAGUGGCGGACGGGUGAGUAACACGUGGGAAUCUGCCUUUUGGUUCGGGAUAACCGCGGGAAACUGCGGCUAAUACCGAAUGCCCUCGAGAGAGGAAAGAUUUAUCGCCAGAAGAGGAGCCCGCGUCCGAUUAGGUAGUUGGUGGGGUAAAGGCCUACCAAGCCGACGAUCGGUAGCUGGUCUGAGAGGAUGAUCAGCCACACUGGGACUGAGAUACGGCCCAGACUCCUACGGGAGGCAGCAGUGGGGAAUAUUGGACAAUGGGCGAAAGCCUGAUCCAGCAAUGCCGCGUGAGUGAUGAAGGCCUUAGGGUUGUAAAGCUCUUUUACCCGGGAUGAUAAUGACAGUACCGGGAGAAUAAGCUCCGGCUAACUCCGUGCCAGCAGCCGCGGUAAU
RNAcentral lists this ribosomal RNA (458 nucleotides) under uncultured bacterium. RNAcentral describes it as "bacterial SSU rRNA". It matches the Rfam family "Bacterial small subunit ribosomal RNA", at positions 29 to 524 of the family's 1533-position model. The record is from RNAcentral.